UACGUAGGGGGCGAGCGUUGUCCGGAGUUACUGGGCGUAAAGCGCUUGUAGGCGGUCCACCAAGUUUGGGGUGACAGUUGCCGACUUAAUCGGCAAAGUGCCUCAAAGACUGGCGGACUCGAGGGCCACAGAGGGACAUGGAACUCCAGGUGUAGUGGUGAAGUGCGUAGAUAUCUGGAAGAACACCAAAGGCGAAGGCAGUGUCCUGGGUAGUCGCUGACGCUGAGAGGCGAAAGCCAGGGGAGCGAACGGG
Molecule: ribosomal RNA, 253 nt
Filed under: uncultured bacterium
Lineage: Bacteria
Description: partial 16S ribosomal RNA
Rfam family: Bacterial small subunit ribosomal RNA
Source: RNAcentral